RNAcentral lists this ribosomal RNA (427 nucleotides) under uncultured Lysobacter sp. RNAcentral's name for it is "bacterial SSU rRNA". It matches the Rfam family "Bacterial small subunit ribosomal RNA", at positions 355 to 774 of the family's 1533-position model. Lineage: Bacteria; Pseudomonadati; Pseudomonadota; Gammaproteobacteria; Lysobacterales; Lysobacteraceae. The record is from RNAcentral.
UGGGGAAUAUUGGACAAUGGGCGCAAGCCUGAUCCAGCCAUGCCGCGUGAGUGAAGAAGGCCUUCGGGUUGUAAAGCUCUUUUGUCCGGAAAGAAAAGCCUUCGGUUAAUACCCGGGGGUGAUGACGGUACCGGAAGAAUAAGCACCGGCUAACUUCGUGCCAGCAGCCGCGGUAAUACGAAGGGUGCAAGCGUUACUCGGAAUUACUGGGCGUAAAGCGUGCGUAGGUGGUUCGUUAAGUCUGAUGUGAAAGCCCUGGGCUCAACCUGGGAAUGGCAUUGGAAACUGGCGACCUAGAGUGCGGUAGAGGGUAGUGGAAUUCCCGGUGUAGCAGUGAAAUGCGUAGAGAUCGGGAGGAACAUCUGUGGCGAAGGCGACUGCCUGGACCAGCACUGACACUGAGGCACGAAAGCGUGGGGAGCAAACA